Molecule: long non-coding RNA, 1149 nt
Organism: Mastomys coucha (southern multimammate mouse)
Lineage: Eukaryota; Metazoa; Chordata; Mammalia; Rodentia; Muridae
Exons: 3
Source: RefSeq, a predicted model, not a curated record
UCUGUUACCAUGGUGACCAGCAUUCCACCUUCUGCCCCUGAGUUGGCAAACAGGUUCUCUUGAUGCCCUGGCUAAGAACCAUCACCUCCAAAACAACAAACAGAAAGGCAAGCCAAGCACGGCCUUAAGACGUUGACUCAGGGAGUCACGAUGCCUGGGACGGAAUCCCAGAUCUGCCACGUGCUUACUGGGUGACCCAGAGCAAGCUACACAACCUCUGUGAUGCUUUUUGCUCUUACCUCUUCAAGGGGAUAAGAGUCUCAGGACUCUUGUGGGGAUUCACUGAGUCAAUGCAGGGUGUUUUUCCAAUCAACUCUCACGGAACACAAGACGAACCAUUAACCUUUCAACUACUGAACAGGCACCAGUGCUCGGCAUUUCACCUGACCCUGACACACUCCAGGAAGAGGAGCCCACAGCCCUCGGGAAGCUACAGUGCAAUAAGAGACAGAGAGCAAGGACCAGGCUGGAGGCCAACACUGGAGCUGCUGGACACCCUAAGGCCUCCAAAGAAGGGCCAUUGGAACAGACUCCCGAGUGACAGUACUGAGCCAGGCUGAGAAGAUGGGACAGCGUUCCAGGCCCAGGAGGCAAUGGACUCCAGCCAGAACUGCAGAACACGGCACGCGUUUUCACAUUUGUUUUAUAGGGUACCUUCCCUUCUGAAAAUGAUGCAUGUUUGUCAUUUAUGACUGGGAUAUAAAGAUGAGUUUAUAAACAUAGCUCUUUAAUGAAAAGAAAUAGGAACCCUUUUAAAGAAAAAUAUUAAGAGAAUAAUUUUACAGGUGGUAGAGGAAUGCACCAGAAAUUACAAGGUGCUUCUUGUGCUCAUGCGCUCUCUCUCUCUCUCUCUCUGUGUGUGUGUGUGUGUGUGUGUGUGUGUGUGUGUGUGAUACACACACACACACAGAGCCAGAGUAUGCCAGCCCCACUAGCCUCCUGUCUCCUUCAGCAUUCACCCUCUCCCCUCAUCUGUCCUUAGCCCAUACCCCUCCCCAUCCCCAAAGCCCUGUGACCUCAUCCUAGACAGGCCUUUUAUUGGUUCUCACCAAUAACAAUAGUAGCAAUAAGAAUGUCACCUUGCAUUUGCAUAUCCCUUUACAAUUCCAAAUGCUUUUAUAUGUACCAUCUCAUUUGCCGGAGGAAUAA